GGUCCCAUGGUCAAGAGGUCAAGACGAGACCCUCUCAAGGUCUAAUCCCGGGUUCGAUUCCCGGUGGGAUCACCA
Molecule: transfer RNA, 75 nt
Filed under: Erysipelotrichaceae bacterium
Lineage: Bacteria; Bacillati; Bacillota; Erysipelotrichia; Erysipelotrichales; Erysipelotrichaceae
Description: tRNA-Glu
Rfam family: tRNA
About the family: Transfer RNA (tRNA) molecules are approximately 80 nucleotides in length. Their secondary structure includes four short double-helical elements and three loops (D, anti-codon, and T loops). Further hydrogen bonds mediate the characteristic L-shaped molecular structure. tRNAs have two regions of fundamental functional importance: the anti-codon, which is responsible for specific mRNA codon recognition, and the 3' end, to which the tRNAs corresponding amino acid is attached (by aminoacyl-tRNA synthetases). tRNAs cope with the degeneracy of the genetic code in two manners: having more than one tRNA (with a specific anti-codon) for a particular amino acid; and 'wobble' base-pairing, i.e. permitting non-standard base-pairing at the 3rd anti-codon position.
Source: RNAcentral